RNAcentral lists this long non-coding RNA (611 nucleotides) under Castor canadensis (American beaver). Its description in RNAcentral is "lncRNA (ENSCCNG00000008995.1)". Lineage: Eukaryota; Metazoa; Chordata; Mammalia; Rodentia; Castoridae. The record is from RNAcentral.
UGAAAAGCAGGUGCUCUAUCUCUUGAACUAUACCUCUAGUCCAUUUUGCUCUGGUUGUUUCGGAGAUGCCUGGGCUGGCCUAGAACCACAAACCUCUUGAUCUCAGUUUCUCAAGUAGCUAGGAUUGCAGGAGUGAGCCUCUGACACCUGGCUGAUCCAUUCAUUGCUUUAUUAUGGUUUUCUUUCUAAACUCAUUCACCAGACCUGCUUGGGAAGUAUUUUUAUGACUAUUAACAAAAAAAUUUUCCUCCAAGGACGAUUAUUGUCAUCACUGAAGAUUGCCAAAGGAAUGCCGUCUACCCUCAAACUUCAGAAUGAGAAGACAUUACCUGGGAAUCUGUCCUGACAUACAUGGUGGAACUAAGGAACUGAGAAUCUGAAUUGAGAGGAAGAAUAGGACAUGUAUUCCUCUGAGAAACCCUGGACAGUAGAUUUUGGUUUAAUAGUGGAUUGGGACAACAUACAGAGACAUUUCCAGUCAUGAGUAAGUGUUCUGUUUUGUUUCAUUUCUGUUGUCUCAGGAGCAUUUGUAGUGUGGUACUUAAAAAAAAAAGUAUUACUAGAUAAAUUGGAAGUAUGUCACUUCUUCAGAGAAUAAUCUGGUUCCUCCC